AUAGUUCGUCUUGAUGUGGGUGCCGUGUAAGGCCUAAGAGGGAAUCCCGUUAAAAACGGGAGCGGUCCCGCCGCUGUAACCGGGGACGAACCCCGUAAAAGACCACUGUUCCGGUAAACCGGGAUGGGAAGGCGCGGGGGGUAGGAUGAUCCGGGAGCCAGAAGACCUGCCUACAUCGAUGACCGGUA
Molecule: non-coding RNA, 188 nt
Filed under: Deltaproteobacteria bacterium
Lineage: Bacteria; Pseudomonadati; Myxococcota; Myxococcia
Source: RNAcentral